GGUUAAGCGACUAAGCGUACACGGUGGAUGCCCUGGCAGUCAGAGGCGAUGAAGGACGUGCUAAUCUGCGAAAAGCGUCGGUAAGGUGAUAUGAACCGUUAUAACCGGCGAUGUCCGAAUGGGGAAACCCAGUGUGUUUCGACACACUAUCAUUAACUGAAUCCAUAGGUUAAUGAGGCGAAACGGGGGAACUGAAACAUCUAAGUACCCCGAGGAAAAGAAAUCAACCGAGAUUCCCCCAGUAGCGGCGAGCGAACGGGGAGGAGCCCAGAGCCUGAAUCAGUGUGUGUGUUAGUGGAAGCGUCUGGAAAGGCGCGCGAUACAGGGUGACAGCCCCGUACACAAAAAUGCACAUGCUGUGAGCUCGAUGAGUAGGGCGGGACACGUGGUAUCCUGUCUGAAUAUGGGGGGACCAUCCUCCAAGGCUAAAUACUCCUGACUGACCGAUAGUGAACCAGUACCGUGAGGGAAAGGCGAAAAGAACCCCGGCGAGGGGAGUGAAAAAGAACCUGAAACCGUGUACGUACAAGCAGUGGGAGCCCUGAUUUAUCAGGGUGACUGCGUACCUUUUGUAUAAUGGGUCAGCGACUUAUAUUCUGUAGCAAGGUUAACCGAAUAGGGGAGCCGGAGGGAAACCGAGUCUUAACUGGGCGUUAAGUUGCAGGGUAUAGACCCGAAACCCGGUGAUCUAGCCAUGGGCAGGUUGAAGGUUGGGUAACACUAACUGGAGGACCGAACCGACUAAUGUUGAAAAAUUAGCGGAUGACUUGUGGCUGGGGGUGAAAGGCCAAUCAAACCGGGAGAUAGCUGGUUCUCCCCGAAAGCUAUUUAGGUAGCGCCUCGUGAAUUCAUCUCCGGGGUAGAGCACUGUUUCGGCAAGGGGGUCAUCCCGACUUACCAACCCGAUGCAAACUGCGAAUACCGGAGAAUGUUAUCACGGGAGACACACGGCGGGUGCUAACGUCCGUCGUGAAGAGGGAAACAACCCAGACCGCCAGCUAAGGUCCCAAAGUCAUGGUUAAGUGGGAAACGAUGUGGGAAGGCCCAGACAGCCAGGAUGUUGGCUUAGAAGCAGCCAUCAUUUAAAGAAAGCGUAAUAGCUCACUGGUCGAGUCGGCCUGCGCGGAAGAUGUAACGGGGCUAAACCAUGCACCGAAGCUGCGGCAGCGACACUGUGUGUUGUUGGGUAGGGGAGCGUUCUGUAAGCCUGCGAAGGUGUGCUGUGAGGUAUGCUGGAGGUAUCAGAAGUGCGAAUGCUGACAUAAGUAACGAUAAAGCGGGUGAAAAGCCCGCUCGCCGGAAGACCAAGGGUUCCUGUCCAACGUUAAUCGGGGCAGGGUGAGUCGACCCCUAAGGCGAGGCCGAAAGGCGUAGUCGAUGGGAAACAGGUUAAUAUUCCUGUACUUGGUGUUACUGCGAAGGGGGGACGGAGAAGGCUAUGUUGGCCGGGCGACGGUUGUCCCGGUUUAAGCGUGUAGGCUGGUUUUCCAGGCAAAUCCGGAAAAUCAAGGCUGAGGCGUGAUGACGAGGCACUACGGUGCUGAAGCGACAAAUGCCCUGCUUCCAGGAAAAGCCUCUAAGCAUCAGGUAACAUCAAAUCGUACCCCAAACCGACACAGGUGGUCAGGUAGAGAAUACCAAGGCGCUUGAGAGAACUCGGGUGAAGGAACUAGGCAAAAUGGUGCCGUAACUUCGGGAGAAGGCACGCUGAUAUGUAGGUGAAGCGACUUGCUCGUGGAGCUGAAAUCAGUCGAAGAUACCAGCUGGCUGCAACUGUUUAUUAAAAACACAGCACUGUGCAAACACGAAAGUGGACGUAUACGGUGUGACGCCUGCCCGGUGCCGGAAGGUUAAUUGAUGGGGUCAGCGCAAGCGAAGCUCUUGAUCGAAGCCCCGGUAAACGGCGGCCGUAACUAUAACGGUCCUAAGGUAGCGAAAUUCCUUGUCGGGUAAGUUCCGACCUGCACGAAUGGCGUAAUGAUGGCCAGGCUGUCUCCACCCGAGACUCAGUGAAAUUGAACUCGCUGUGAAGAUGCAGUGUACCCGCGGCAAGACGGAAAGACCCCGUGAACCUUUACUAUAGCUUGACACUGAACACUGGUCCUUGAUGUGUAGGAUAGGUGGGAGGCUUUGAAGUGUGGACGCCAGUCUGCAUGGAGCCGUCCUUGAAAUACCACCCUUUAAUGGCUGGUGUUCUAACGUGGGCCCGUAAUCCGGGUUGCGGACAGUGUCUGGUGGGUAGUUUGACUGGGGCGGUCUCCUCCUAAAGAGUAACGGAGGAGCACGAAGGUUGGCUAAUCCUGGUCGGACAUCAGGAGGUUAGUGCAAUGGCAUAAGCCAGCUUGACUGCGAGCGUGACGGCGCGAGCAGGUGCGAAAGCAGGUCAUAGUGAUCCGGUGGUUCUGAAUGGAAGGGCCAUCGCUCAACGGAUAAAAGGUACUCCGGGGAUAACAGGCUGAUACCGCCCAAGAGUUCAUAUCGACGGCGGUGUUUGGCACCUCGAUGUCGGCUCAUCACAUCCUGGGGCUGAAGUAGGUCCCAAGGGUAUGGCUGUUCGCCAUUUAAAGUGGUACGCGAGCUGGGUUUAGAACGUCGUGAGACAGUUCGGUCCCUAUCUGCCGUGGGCGCUGGAGAACUGAGGGGGGCUGCUCCUAGUACGAGAGGACCGGAGUGGACGCAUCACUGGUGUUCGGGUUGUCAUGCCAAUGGCACUGCCCGGUAGCUAAAUGCGGAAGAGAUAAGUGCUGAAAGCAUCUAAGCACGAAACUUGCCCCGAGAUGAGUUCUCCCUGAGACUUAGAGUCUCCUGAAGGAACGUUGAAGACGACGACGUUGAUAGGCCGGGUGUGUAAGCGCAGCGAUGCGUUGAGCUAACCGGUACUAAUGAACCGUGAGGCUUAACCUU
RNAcentral lists this ribosomal RNA (2904 nucleotides) under Escherichia albertii. Its description in RNAcentral is "23S ribosomal RNA". It matches the Rfam family "Bacterial large subunit ribosomal RNA". The record is from RNAcentral. Lineage: Bacteria; Pseudomonadati; Pseudomonadota; Gammaproteobacteria; Enterobacterales; Enterobacteriaceae.